Molecule: long non-coding RNA, 436 nt
Filed under: Chrysolophus pictus (golden pheasant)
Lineage: Eukaryota; Metazoa; Chordata; Aves; Galliformes; Phasianidae
Description: lncRNA (ENSCPIG00010001279.1)
Source: RNAcentral
GUUUAUUGCUAUCUAUCUAGAUGAUUUUCAUUAGUGAAUGUGAGAGGAAUGGCUUCUGGAGUGUUUGCAGUGAUUCCUGGCUGUGAUGAGCUCAACCACCAUCUCUGUGACACACAUCUUUGCCAGCCCAGCGUGUGCACACUGCAGUCCCAUCCAACCACAGAGCAGGUUUCCUGUUUCACAUGGGGACACCGAGGCCGUGAAUGGACGGAGGGUCGCUGCGCUCAGCCCCCAGCCCUGGAAGGCAUCUGGAAGCCGAGCUGACCAACAGACCUCACCGAGCCAUUCACACAGCAGGAGAGCACAACAGCUCCAAGUUAGAACGCGUACUUUGCACUUACACAACCAGAAUCAUUGGGAGACCACAAGUAAGUUCUAAAAUCCAAGCUACCAUUAAGAAAAUAAAAAUUAAGUUCAAAAAUAUUUUUAUGGAAGU